GAGCUCAGCUCUUGAGACAGAAGUCUUGCUCAAUGCUCCUGGCUGAAUAAACCAUUUCCUUCUUUAACUCAGUGUCUGAGGAGUUUUGUCUGCGGCUCGUCCUGCUACAUUUCUUGGUUCCCUGACCGGGAAGCGAGGUGAUUGGCAGAUGGUCGAGGCAGCUCCUUAGGCGGCUAAAGCCUGCCCUGUGGAACAUCCCUGCAGGGGACUCUGACCAGCCUGAGCGACGUGGAUCCUGAGAGCGCUUCUGGGUAGGCAUUUGCCCCAGUGGGAUGCCUCACCAGAGCAGUGUGUGGAAGGCCCCCAUGGAGUCUCAACACGGUGGCUGAACACCGGGAAGGAACUGGUAUUUGGAGUCCGGACAUCUGAAACUUGGUCAGUGAGAGAGCAUAUGCCCUGGUAGAUUCCUGAGAAAAGGAACAGGAGGAUGAGAGGUUCAAUGUUUUACACAUUGCUGGUCUGAUAGCUCAGCUUCAUUCACAGUGUUUGUGAGGCAAACAUGUUCCAAAGAAGGCCAGAAAAAGCCCAGCCAGGUUGAAUUCUGUGGAAAAUUCACCGAAAAGAUACAAUGCAUUUGAAACAAAACAAAACAAAACCAAAAAACACCUGCAGAAGUCCACUUGAAAAACCUGGGCUUAUUCACUCUCUGUGCCUCCCAUAUUCUAGAAGAUGUCUGCACAUAGAAUGUACAGAAAAAUGUCUGUCUUUGCCCAUGAUGGGAGAGGAAAGGCCAUUGUGUCUCUUGUUAGCAGAUCAAGAUUGGCAUUAGAGCUCAUCGAGGAGAACUGUGUCUUGACCAGCAUCCUUGAUCACUGAGGACACUGGUGGUCCUAUGUUGGUGAGGUGCCAGCUUUUCACACUCAGUCUUUUUCUAAUGCAGUCACUCCAGAGCCAUUUCUUAGCCAAUGAUCUCUGUCCUGUUGUCUCACAUAAAGUGAGCAGCCCCAUCUCUGUUACAUUCAAGUACUUACUAUUUGUGUUCAACUCUUUUGAUGAUAAGAAUGGCCAUAGUUUUCAAAGGAUCUGGGGUUUUCCACCCAUGCUUUCCUGCAUUUUUUCCCCUUUCAUGUCACCAUGAUCUGCCACCACCCUUGUUCCUACCUGCCCAGGUCAUGCCAUGUUCCAUGAGCAUGGAGGUGUGGAUUGGUGGCACCUCAUGAUUUUAUUUGUUAAUGAAUUUUUAACAAUUAACAUAGAAAUGAUUUGCCUGUAUUCAGUAAAUUAAUAUGAAUUGAACAUAAGAGUAGAGAAUUCACAGUUUUCUAAGCAACGAUUUCUGCUUUCAGGAAGUGUGAAGGCUAUUUGAAGGGAGCGAACACCACAAUAAAGAGUAGUUCAUGAUGCCACAGGGCAAGUACAAAUACUCUUUCCCAAAAGCUCACAGGGAGGUGAGGUCUAUGUGGGGAUGGAAUCCACUCACAGAGGAAUUUGAGCAGGAUCAUGAAGGCAUAGAACAUGCAGCGAUGAGAGCCACAGAGAGGAAAUGAAUGCAAGAUGUAAUGGCCAUGAAAGAUUAUGAACCAACCCCAUGCAGUUUACUGGGUCAACUGUGCCUAUUAAAAGGCAUAUUUCUUUCAUUAGCUAUGCACUUUAUGAUCAGGUUUUAUGCCCUGGCCCUAUGAAAGGAACUUGAAUGUAGAAUGUUUCACAGGCAGGGUGGUCAUUUUGAUUAGAGCACUUGCCUCCUUACCAGCCCUGCUGCUUCCAUAAACAUUUCAUCAGGAAUUUUCAUCAGUUCACACUCUCUGUGAGGCUCUUUAGACAUCCGAGCAAUGCUGCCAAGGGGAUGUUUGGUCUUUUAAAUUGUGAUGACAAAAUAAACUUUUAUGAACCCUCUUGCUCAAUAAACACAGCCUGGCAUUUUAAAUGUCAGCACAUCUCAAUUUUGUGAGAGGGUCUGCCUGAGAGGAUUGACUUGAAACUACACAGCAAAGAGGAGGUGCUAGUCCACAUUUGCGUGUUCCAUUUGCAUGAGCAAAAUGGACCUGAAGAUGGAGCUGCAGCAAGAGGGGAGGCACAUGUCCAAUAGCAAGGAAGCCAUCAAGAAUCCUUUAUUCUUGAAGGGGUAUGCAACAGACUGGAAAGGAUCUCAUUUUUCUUUGCUUUAAAUGCUUUGGUAAAUGUAAUAUGUUUCUACUUUUGGGGAAAGUUUAGGGGCUUUCAUAAUCAUGUUUGUGUUGACCUUCAACAACAGAGAUAAGCUGCUAUUCAGCCUUUUGAACCCCGAAAAGAGACCCAGGACUCUUAUACAUUAAGUAGUUAAUGCUGACUUUAUUGCUAUACCAAUACCAUGGUGACCAUUUCUGAUGAAAGAUUAGUAGGUAAUCUCAAGGUAGUUCUCAACCUCUUCUUUCACAAGCAAAGCAAAACAACAAUUGUGAUAUCCAUAGUCAAUACAUUCCUUGAUCUCACCUCAGUAACCAACUCUACCACUCCACCCCCCAAGUAGACACCCUAGUUGUUUUGCCUCUUAUUCUCACAAAGUAACCCUUGAAUGGUUAUCUUAAAGUUAAUUUUGCAUGUAACAGAAAGUGUAAGAUUUGUUCUUUAAAUAAAGAGUGAGAGCUGAACUGCACAUAUCAUUUUUUAGGCCCUUCAACUUCUCAGCAUGCUUGGUUUAGCCAAUGCAUGGCAUGGCUCAGUUGUUGAGUAAAUAUUUGUUAGAUGAAUAUGUGAAUCAAUACCUAAAAUAAGAAGCAGGCAUAUUGCCAUACCUUGCUAAAUAUCUCUACGGUCCUAAGAGAAGAGGAUCAGUGUUUAGUUUCUUGAUUUCCUUAAAUGUUAAUUUCUAUCUAUGAAUUGUCACAAAAUUACACUUAUAAAUCACUCACAUGGUCAUGCAUUCCCUUUAUCAGGAACAGCACCUGACACACAAAUUCUAAGUAAAUAUUAUUGAAUGGAUGAGUAGGUGGUAUAGCUGGGCUGUGCCUGAUUCUGUGUGACCUUGUCUAAGAUUUGAAUAUUCUAGGACAAAUCACUAUUUUUUAGAGGAUCCUCUGUGAGGUCUAAAUAUCAUUGUGUGGCAAGGUGUAGAAACAAAUUUGAGACCACCAUACUCAAACAAAAACAAAAACAAGACAAAACAAAAAACACCAGGAUGGGCACUCCUAUUCCAUAAAGGCAAGCUAGAGGCCACUGGCCAAUUAUUGUGCUUAUUUAAAAAUUUUAACAUUGAUUUUUGUUUAGUUCAAAGUUACUCUGGGUUAUCUGAGGAUUGAUUGUCUCUACUCUGUUGCCCAGUUAUUUUACUAAAUUCUGUGACCUUAGGUAAAGCCCUGAAUACUUUCGGAUCUUCGUUUUCUCAUCUGUCAAUGGACAAAGUUAUCCUUCAUAAAAGUGGGCACUUAGGGCAGUGUCAGAUACUUCACAGUUGAAGAGAAACUAUAAUAAUACUUAAUUUUAAGGUUUUUAGAAAAAAUUUCAUUUUAUCAGUCAAGCUUUCAAAUCUAACCAUUCAAUACCUUUCUUUUUCUUUCUGCCUUCAAACUAUUUUUAGAAUCAGCUGAAAAAAAAAGCCCUGAUAAUGCAACUUGUUUUCACAGCAGUUCAGUUGAGCAGAAUAACGGACCCUGGGGAGGACUAAUUCUUGGCUCUCAUUGCCUGGGCUUCUGGGUCUGUGAUUAGUCAUAUACAGUGACUUUAAUGGGUCGUAAAAGGACCAUAAAUCUAUUGCAGAAAUGGCCACAUCUGUGUUUUAGAAAAGCGGUGGGGGUUUUUUAGUUAUUUUAUUUUAAAAACUAACCAAAAAUUUAGUCGUUUUUCUAUAUUUCUUUAUUUUAAGUUCUUAUUUGCAGGUAUUAGGAUUAAAUGUAGCAGUGUUUUCCAUCCUUUGUCUAUGUAGUUCAACGUGUAUGUGAUUUUUCUCCAAUAGUUUGUCAUUUUGAGUAUGCUUGAAUAAUACUCAGCUCAAAGUCAAGUCACCUGUAAGGUCAUGAAGCACACUUGUUGACAUAUCCAUUGUCCCAUUAGACAGAGAACAUCUCAGGAGCAAGAACACUGUAAUAUUCAUUACUUUAACCUCCAUGACUGUCAGAAAGAGCAGGUAACCAAUAAAUGUUUCUUAAUAUAAAAAUGGAAUAGUCAUGCGCCACUAAAGACAUUUCAGUCAACAAUGGACUACAUAUGAAACCAUGUUCCCAUAAAAUUAUAAUAGAGCUGAAAAGUUCCUAUUGCCUAGCAACAUUGUAGCCAUCACAAUGUAGUAAUGCAAAGCAUUACCUUUUCUAUGUUUAGAUACACAAAUACUUAACAAUUGUAUUACAAUUGCCUCAGUAUUUAGUAAAGUAACAUGCUGUACAAGUUUAUACCCCAGGAGCCACAUAGCCUAGGUUUGUAGUAGGUUAUAUAGGUUCUGAUCAUUUAGGUGUAUGUAAGCAUACUCUAUGAUGUUCGCACAAUAAGGAAAUUGUCUAAUGAUGCAUUUCUCAGAAUGUAUCCUUGUCAUUAAGCAACAUGUGACUGUAGUAAAAUUUGACAGAAAAAAUAAUGUUUCUGUGGAAGUCUUCAUACUAAUUUUUGAAGCAGAAUAACUAAGAAAAUAAGAUCAAUGUAUGUAAAGUUCAGGAAAUCAAUUUUUAAAGAUAGGUUUUGUACUAAGCAUUUAAAUCAUCCACAUUAACCUGAGAACUUUGCAGCCUUUUCUGACCCCUUCUUAUGGUGACCUUGCUCGCUCACCCAUCCAGUCCUGCUAUUCAUGGUCUCAGCAAUGCCUCACCUAUUGACCAGUUAGUUACUCCAAAAUCGGUUCCAUUUGUAGCCACUUACUUAUGUCAAUAGAAACUAACCAAUUAAUUUAGAAAUGGGAAGGGUUAAAAGAAACACAUUUCUACCUCCACCUUCACAUGAGUUCCCCAUUGGAUUAGCCUUCCAGUUUAAACCAGAAAAAAAUAGACUUAUCUGGGCAUCUGUGGCAGUGUUUUCAAUGUCUUUGCAAGAUCACUUGAAAUAUACUGAUUUUAAGUUAGUAUGCUUUCACUGUGCAUAAUUUGGAGAGCUUAGCAGAUAAACGUGGUGAGGAACACAGGACCAACUCUCCUCCAGUGAGAACCUGGAUCAUGUCAGAAGGACUCUGAGGCAGUAUGACCCUUUCUGGUCCUACACCUGGUGUUUUUGCCCAGCUUCUAGCAGAUGCCUGUAGAGCUGCGGCCUUGUACCUGGGAGCAGUGCAGCCAACCUGGUAGACGGUAAAAAACUUGUGGCAGCACUGAGAAUGUAUCCCAGGCAUGAAAUCUUUGUCACUAUAACCAGGUGAUAAUUUCUACUUGAAGUGAUGCAGUUUAUACCUCUUUUCCUGGAGUAAUUAUUUGAUAGCAUCUUGUUUUUCACUCUCAAAAGUGUUUCGAUCUGCUGAAUAAAUUAGAUGAUCGCUCAAAAUACAGGAUUAUAUUCUCUGUCAGCAGGAUAUUUUGGGCUAUUUCUAGAAAAAUUCUAGAAGAAAGAGACUUACCACACCCCCCAGGUAUAAUCCAAAAAUGUAUAAUUCCCAUCUCCUGUGCAGAUGGUAAGCUGGGUUAUCAUCUGCCAAUCACAGUUCUUUCCAGAGACUGCUGUUUUAAGGUAAACAAUGGGAUGAAAGUGACGCCCUGAGGAAUCCUUUUGCAGCCAGCGAACUGGCUUUCCAAGGUCAGAGGUGCAAAGUGACAUCAUGGGAUUGUGGCAAUUGCAGCAGGCAAAGUUUCCUCACAGGCCGGUUCUGCACUGAGGGAUUUAAAUAUAUUCUUUCUAGCUUAGCCUCAAAGAUGUUCUCCAGCCUUUCCAACCAUUCUGUACACUAUUCAAUAUCUUUUAAUAAACUCCUGGGUAUUUUGUUUUCCUGCUUAAUUAGUCAGCCAAUUUCUAUUGCUUACAACUAAGGACCUUGACUAAGACAUGGGUAAACUUGAAAAUUUGAGUUCAUAAAAUAUUUUUAACCCCAGGAUCCACAUGGAAAAGGAACGUUCUGCUGUUUUGAAGGUUCUGUUCAAGUCUCUUUCAACAAACAAUGUCUUAUGUGAAAAAGGGCUGCUCAUCGUUUUCAAAGUUGACCUUGAUUUUUCAUGCCAUAGAUUAUUCAAAACUAUGGGUUAUUCUUUUUAAAAUGAUGUUAAGGUCAAGUGACAAACUUUCUUCUCAGAUGUCACAUGGAAAAACUGGUGUUUGGAUGUCAACUGUGGCAUUUUUAAUCCUAUGUUUUUCCCACUGGCAGCACUAUGUUUUCAGAGAAGCUUUAGCACUCUGCAAUGCCCACUGCGACAAUCAACCAGAUAGCCUCAUUUUCGAUAAUGUAAUCUGAAAAGUGUUUAAUUAGCUUUCUUCCUGCUGCUGACUCACCCUCACUUGGAUACACACAUUAUAGAACCUAAACAGCAGCAGAUCAUCAAAGUGAGUUGAAAUAUGCUAUUGUUUUCUUGAUAAUGGAUUCUUUAAAGAUCUCAGGUAUCAUUAAACUGCUAACAGGCUCGGGCCCUUAUAGGGUGGUGCAGUAUGGCAUUUUGGAAGUUUUCUUUUGUGUUCAAAUCCAGAAUUCCAGGUAGAUCCUGGGUACUUAGUAGUUGUCAGUUUAAAUGCAUAUACAAAUCUGCAUACAUUUGGAAAAAACUUCUCAAAUGAUUAUUCCAUUUUUUGUUAGGCAGUGACAUUUUUCUUUGAUCCUUAUAUGUAAGGGAACUUACCACAAUGAAUAAUAAAAUAUUUGAAGACCG
Long non-coding RNA from Homo sapiens (human), 6680 nucleotides. RefSeq lists it as uncharacterized. The record is from RefSeq and is a predicted model, not a curated record. Lineage: Eukaryota; Metazoa; Chordata; Mammalia; Primates; Hominidae. The transcript has 3 exons.